Molecule: ribosomal RNA, 429 nt
Filed under: Chloroflexota bacterium
Lineage: Bacteria; Bacillati; Chloroflexota
Description: Chloroflexi bacterium partial 16S ribosomal RNA
Rfam family: Bacterial small subunit ribosomal RNA
Source: RNAcentral
UGGGGAAUAUUGCACAAUGGGCGCAAGCCUGAUGCAGCCAUGCCGCGUGUGUGAAGAAGGCCUUCGGGUUGUAAAGCACUUUCAGCGGGGAGGAAGGCGUUAAGGUUAAUAACCUUGGCGAUUGACGUUACCCGCAGAAGAAGCACCGGCUAACUCCGUGCCAGCAGCCGCGGUAAUACGGAGGGUGCAAGCGUUAAUCGGAAUUACUGGGCGUAAAGCGCACGCAGGCGGUCUGUCAAGUCGGAUGUGAAAUCCCCGGGCUCAACCUGGGAACUGCAUUCGAAACUGGCAGGCUAGAGUCUUGUAGAGGGGGGUAGAAUUCUAGGUGUAGCGGUGAAAUGCGUAGAGAUCUGGAGGAAUACCGGUGGCGAAGGCGGCCCCCUGGACAAAGACUGACGCUCAGGUGCGAAAGCGUGGGGAGCAAACAGG